GACCCGACUGCUAUCGGAUAGAGAUUAAGCCAUGCUAGUUGAACAUUUCUUAACUAUGUGAGAAGUGUAGCGUACUGCUCAGUAACACGUGGUCAACCUGCCCUAGAGACGUGUAUAACCCCGGGAAACUGGGACUAAUACGCGAUAAGUCAUAUUUUCUGGAAUGGUUUAUGAUAUAAAGGAUUUUUCAAACAUGUUUGAUUUAUUGCUUUAGGAUGGGACUGCGGCCGAUCAGGUUGUUGGUGGGGUAAUGGCCCACCAAGCCUAAUACCGGUACGGGCUUUGAGAGAAGUAGCCCGGAGAUGGACCCUGAGACACAGGUCCAGGCCCUACGGGGCGCAGCAGGCGCGAAAACUUCGCAAUGCGCGCAAGCGUGACGAGGCUAAUCCGAGUGUUACCUGCUGAAGGUAACUUUUGUUAAGUUUAAUUCGCUUAAAGAAAAAAGGGAGGGAAAGUCUGGUGUCAGCCGCCGCGGUAAUACCAGCUCCCUGAGUGGUCGGGACGAUUAUUGGGCCUAAAGCAUCCGUAGCCUGUUCUGUAGGUCUUAUGUUAAAACCAAUUGCUUAACAAUUGGACUGCAUGAGAUACCACAAAACUAGGAGGCGGGAGAGGUGGACGGUACUCCACGGGUAGUGGUAAAAUGCUCUGAUCCGUGGAAGACCACCAGUGGCGAAGGCGGUCCACCAGAACGCGCUCGACGGUGAGGGAUGAAAGCUGGGGUAGCGAACCGGAUUAGAUACCCGGGUAGUCCCAGCUGUAAACGAUGCAAGCUAGGUGAUGGAUUAGCCACGUGUUAAUCCAGUGCCACAGGGAAGCCGUUAAGCUCGCCGCCUGGGGAGUACGAUCGCAAGAUUGAAACUUAAAGGAAUUGGCGGGGGAGCACCACAAGGGGUGAAGCCUGCGGUUCAAUUGGAUUCAACGC
This 922-nucleotide ribosomal RNA is filed under the name uncultured marine archaeon. RNAcentral describes it as "bacterial SSU rRNA". It matches the Rfam family "Archaeal small subunit ribosomal RNA", at positions 20 to 918 of the family's 1478-position model. The record is from RNAcentral.